RNAcentral lists this ribosomal RNA (424 nucleotides) under uncultured soil bacterium. RNAcentral describes it as "bacterial SSU rRNA". It matches the Rfam family "Bacterial small subunit ribosomal RNA", at positions 352 to 770 of the family's 1533-position model. The record is from RNAcentral.
CAGUCGGGAAUUUUGGGCAAUGGGCGAAAGCCUGACCCAGCAACGCCGCGUAAAGGAUGAAAUUUUUCGGAAUGUAAACUUCGCAAGAACGGGAAGAAUAAGUGGGGGACAAUACCCCCCAUGAUGACGGUACCGUUUGUAAGCUCCGGCUAACUCCGUGCCAGCAACCGCGGUAAUACGGGGGGAGCAAGCGUUGUUCGGAUUUACUGGGCGUAAAGGGCGCGUAGGCGGUCGUGACAAGUCACUUGUGAAAUCUCCGGGUUUAACUCGGAACGGUCAAGUGAUACUGUCGGACUAGAGUACAGAAGGGGCAACUGGAAUUCUCGGUGUAGCGGUGAAAUGCGUAGAUAUCGAGAGGAACACCUGCGGCGAAGGCGGGUUGCUGGGCUGAUACUGACGCUCAGGCGCGAAAGCCAGGGGACGA